ACCCUCCUGCUCUCUGUCUCUCUCUCUCGCUCUCUCUCUUUUCUCUCUCUUUUCGCUCUCUCUCUUUUCCCUCUCUUUCUCUCUCUCCUCUCUUCCACAUAGCAGUCGCUUCGUGGAUGCUGGACAAUAAUUGCUGGUGGAAUAAACCGCUCCACGCUGCUAACAUUCCUCCUUACAGCUGUUUUUUUUCAGAUGUCUUUGGGUUGUGUGGUAAGAGUUUUUUUUCACACCGUUAAGUCCACCAGAUACCAAAAAGUCACCAGAAAUCAAAACCUGACGAGGGAACAAUGGAAGACACGGACACUGGACUUUGUCAUCAGAACAUGUGCGAAAAUGGCCAAUACUGUAACCUGGGCAACCAAGAGAAAUGCAUUAGAUGCUUUGAAACCUCAACUGCAGAAAGUAAUGGAGGAAGACUUAGGGUUCCUGAUCAGUGCAGACCACAGAAGGUAGACAUGGACCUCCAAACUCCUCAAUCACAGAUGGCUUAUCCUGCCACCAGAUCAGCAGGGACUAAAGCCCAGAUGAAAGAUGAGUGGGAGAGGCAAACAUUGUGGCAACGGGGAGAGGCAGAGAGAUCCCCCUAUACACAGCAGACAAAUAGUUGUUGGGGGUUAAUGUCAGUAAAUGAGGAACAAUCAGUGUUAAAAGACCAGGUGAGGACCCAUGUCCCCCAAGAACAAUAUAGAAAGAAAGAAAACAGAGAAAGUGCUAUGGCUGAACAGCAACAUCCUUCUUCACCUAAUGACAUCCCCUCUCAAUUUCUGUCUCUGACAUGCAAACCCAUGCAAGACAGUCCAGAUCCUGAAAGACCAAAUGAAACAGAUGAGAUGCUGAAUGCUGACUACACCGGCAACGUCUAUUCCGAACCAGUUAGCUACUCUGUAGGCCAAGCUAUUUGUGCAGCCUGUGAAAACUCAGAAAAUGUAUAUACUGACUUGUAUGAGAUCUAUUCAUUCUCUGACCAAGUUUAUGAAAAAAUCUGUGAUGUUCCAGCUUCCCUUUUUCCGUUUUUUUCAAAUGAAAAACAGUCUCUAAAUAAGAGAAAGACCAGCAUUCAGCAUUUGCAAAGUAAAGAGAGAGAUAGGCAUCACCAUCUGAAGGAGGCUGUUGGCUCAAGAUUGCGUCACUAUACCCAGCGCUCUGAUGGUGAGUUAGACAGUCCAGAAAAGGAUGCAGAGUUUGCCCAGCCCCGAAGCACUGCUAGCUGUGACCUGGAUGAGGACAAUGAACAAACUGUAGCUGAGCUCAACCAAAGUCUAGGCCCUCAAAAUCUUGGAAGCAAAGCAAAAGCUAAAAAACGGCCCCUGAAAGAUCAUUCUGAACCUACAACUCAAAUCACUUCAAACAAAAACUGCGAAGCUGCAAGCCGGGAGGACUCAGUCACACACCAGGUUCUGAAUUGUUCUGAUGAGACUUUAUCAAUGAAGAAUAGUCAGGAGAAGGCAGAUGCUAUCUCUUUGGUUAUUAAGGACAUUAAGGAGGCUAUUGAAGAGGUGAAGACGAGAACUAUAAGAUCCCCAUAUACACCGGACGAACCAAAGGAACCAGUUUGGGUGAUGAGACAGGAUUUGAGUUCAAAUACAGAGUAUGAUUUCCAGCCAUUUCCUGGGGAUGAUGUAGAAAAGCAUGAGGAAGAACAAGCCAAGCAGAAGGAACAGACUGACCAGGCUGCUCAAAGUGAGUCCCCUGGCUCAGGCUCUUCUUCCCCUCCAGGAGCUGGGUCAUCCAGCAAGCUUCUGUCACAGGAUGAAGGCUUUCGAGGUUCUCUGUCUCAUAAAGAGGUUGAUUCUUCCAGGAAAAGGCUUACUUCCUUCCCCACAUAUGUAGAAGUGCCUGGCCCCUGUGACCCAGAGGACCUAAUUGAUGGGAUCAUCUUUGCAGCUAACUGUCUUGGAUCCACACAGAUGUUAUCAGAGAAGACACCAUCGAAGAACAUUCGCAUGAUCCAAGCACAGGAAGCAGUUAACCGCAUCAAGGCUGAACCUCAGCCCAUCACAGAGGUGGAUCUCUUUAUCUCCACUCAGAGAAUCAAGGUGCUCAAUGCCGACUCCCAGGAAACUAUGAUAGACAAUGCUUUGAGAACCAUCUCCUACAUUGCUGAUAUUGGCAACAUUGUGGUUCUGAUGGCCAGGAGAAGGUUGCCUCACUGUGACUCUCAGGAGAAUGUGGAGGUUUCAGACCCAAGUCAGGACAGUAAGCACCAGCACAAGAUGAUUUGCCAUGUGUUUGAAUCUGAAGAUGCCCAGUUGAUUGCCCAGUCCAUUGGCCAGGCUUUCAGUGUGGCAUACCAGGAAUUCCUAAGGGCAAAUGGAAUCAAUCCUGAGGACCUUAGUCAGACAGAAUACAGUGACCUGAUGAGCACUCAGGACAUGUAUAAUGAGGAUCUUGUUCACUUCUCCAGGUCUGAAAACUGCAAAGAUGUGUGUAUAGAAAAAGCUAAAGGUGAGAUUCUGGGUGUGGUCAUUGUGGAGAGUGGAUGGGGCUCCAUUCUACCUACUGUUAUCAUUGCUAAUAUGAUGCAUGCUGGACCAGCUGAGAGGUCUGGUAGAGUCAACAUAGGGGAUCAGAUCAUGUCAAUCAAUGGAACCAGUCUGGUUGGACUACCCCUGUCAACUUGCCAGAGCAUCAUAAAGAUGCAACAUGAAAAGCCAAGCUGGUAGAUCACAGGCAGAAGUAGGAUAUUCACAUAAGUUAUGUCUUUUUUUACUGUUAAUUGAUGUGUGUAUAUCUUGUAUUUAAUUUUAUUUCGAAUUAUACAGUAUGUAAUAUGCCUUUUGCUGUGUUAUGUUAUGAAGUUAAAUUGGUGUUAACAAUUCCCCAUUCUAGUAUGACCAGCAGAGUCAUACUAGAAUGGGGAAGCUGAAGCUGAAGCUGAAGCAGGACAGGCUUGUAGGAAUUACUGAACAGAGCAAUUCCUCCACCUAGAGAGGAUCAGAACAUGAGGACAUGAGUAGAUAUCCAGUCAGAGAUAGCCAGGUAGGAAAGUUGCUUUUAAGGGCCAGGUGUAUUUGGUUAACUAUAUAUCUGCAAGUCGGUUUCUUUGAUUUUAUUCAAACUAAUAAUACCUCUUUUAUGUUAAAUUUUUUGUAUUCAUUUUAGUACUGAUAAUGAGCGUACCCUGUACUGUGUCUGCUAGCAGUUUAAAUUGAUUUCAGCUACAUACUUACAAAAGAAUAUUCAGAUUUUAACAUGCAUUUUCUAAAUACUAAAUAUUUCAGUUUACUCUCAGUAAUUUCAGUGUUGUUACACUUCUGAAAUAUUUUUUGCAAUUUCCCUUAUAGGAACAGUUUCACUUAAGCAUUUAAUUUCCUGAGGUAUUGUCAAUUUAUUUUCAAUUAAAACGCUCAAAAAGAGUUUUAGGGCUUAUUUGUUUUUAAUUUACUUACACAAGUAAGUAAAUCUGAUCACUUAUUGGUAUUUUUAUAUCUUUCAGGUUUGCAUCAUAAAACUAAUUAAGUCAUUUCUGAGCCGUAGAUUGAGUAGCUCUAUGAUGUUCACCCAGGACAGAGAGGAACUAUCAUCAACUCCACUCCAUCAGCCCCCUGAGAUCUUCAUGUUGUUAAAUUACCUUUCCCUUGGAUUCAAGCACCUGGACCUUCUGACCGGUGUUUUCUUGUGACGCCUUGGAAAUACCCCUGUGAAGCCCAAGUUCCUGGCUUUCUGGAUUUCUCCCCUCUUGACACUGUGGAUUGUUAUCCACUGGUGCCCGAGUCCCUUCUUCACCUCUGCAGAUUAACCAUAAAUCGUUCCUAGAUUCUCAGCUGGCAGUCGGUUUGCUCCUCAUACCCUCUGCACCUGAACUUACCUGUCCGCCAUCCUCUACACCUACCCCCAAAGAACUCACUCCGGCAAGACCUGAUACUGGUCUUGACACACCAGUGUGUGGUCGGUCAAGACCAGUGUCUUUUGUAAUACUCUGCAUUACAAAAGACAAUGCAGAGUAUUGUCUCCCAGUCAAAGGUGUCAAGGACACCUACAAAGAGAAACCACUGUAUUACCCCCCUGGUGGAAGUUCAUCUUCGUUUCAGCCCCCUGGCGAAAGUUAAUCUUUGUUUCAAGUAAGAUCAAUCUAAUUCUUCUUGGAGUUCCACUUUUCGAUAACCUCAAACUCACCAUCUCUUUCUCACUGCUCUACAGACAACCCUGGUUGCCAUCCACAAGGACGAGAACUACGCAAUCUUAUUUUUCAUCAUUGUUAAAAUAAACUUUAUUUAUCUGAU
Molecule: RNA transcript, 4223 nt
Organism: Xiphophorus couchianus (Monterrey platyfish)
Lineage: Eukaryota; Metazoa; Chordata; Actinopteri; Cyprinodontiformes; Poeciliidae
Gene: apba1a
Gene name: amyloid beta (A4) precursor protein-binding, family A, member 1a
Exons: 12
Source: RefSeq, a predicted model, not a curated record